GACGAACGCUGGCGGCGUGCUUAACACAUGCAAGUCGAACGGAAAGGCCCUGCUUUUGUGGGGUGCUCGAGUGGCGAACGGGUGAGUAACACGUGAGUAACCUGCCCUUGACUUUGGGAUAACUUCAGGAAACUGGGGCUAAUACCGGAUAGGAGCUCCUGCUGCAUGGUGGGGGUUGGAAAGUUUCGGCGGUUGGGGAUGGACUCGCGGCUUAUCAGCUUGUUGGUGGGGUAGUGGCUUACCAAGGCUUUGACGGGUAGCCGGCCUGAGAGGGUGACCGGCCACAUUGGGACUGAGAUACGGCCCAGACUCCUACGGGAGGCAGCAGUGGGGAAUAUUGCACAAUGGGCGGAAGCCUGAUGCAGCAACGCCGCGUGCGGGAUGACGGCCUUCGGAUUGUAAACCGCUUUCGCCUGUGACGAAGCGUGAGUGACGGUAAUGGGUAAAGAAGCACCGGCUAACUACGUGCCAGCAGCCGCGGUGAUACGUAGGGUGCGAGCGUUGUCCGGAUUUAUUGGGCGUAAAGGGCUCGUAGGUGGUUGAUCGCGUCGGAAGUGUAAUCUUGGGGCUUAACCCUGAGCGUGCUUUCGAUACGGGUUGACUUGAGGAAGGUAGGGGAGAAUGGAAUUCCUGGUGGAGCGGUGGAAUGCGCAGAUAUCAGGAGGAACACCAGUGGCGAAGGCGGUUCUCUGGGCCUUUCCUGACGCUGAGGAGCGAAAGCGUGGGGAGCGAACAGGCUUAGAUACCCUGGUAGUCCACGCUGUAAACGGUGGGUACUAGGUGUGGGGUCCAUUCCACGGGUUCCGUGCCGUAGCUAACGCUUUAAGUACCCCGCCUGGGGAGUACGGCCGCAAGGCUAAAACUCAAAGGAAUUGACGGGGCCCCGCACAAGCGGCGGAGCAUGCGGAUUAAUUCGAUGCAACGCGUAGAACCUUACCUGGGUUUGACAUGGAUCGGGAGCGCUCAGAGAUGGGUGUGCCUCUUUUGGGGUCGGUUCACAGGUGGUGCAUGGCUGUCGUCAGCUCGUGUCGUGAGAUGUUGGGUUAAGUCCCGCAACGAGCGCAACCCUUGUUCACUGUUGCCAGCACGUUAUGGUGGGGACUCAGUGGAGACCGCCGGGGUCAACUCGGAGGAAGGUGGGGAUGACGUCAAGUCAUCAUGCCCCUUAUGUCCAGGGCUUCACGCAUGCUACAAUGGCUGGUACAGAGAGUGGCGAGCCUGUGAGGGUGAGCGAAUCUCGGAAAGCCGGUCUCAGUUCGGAUUGGGGUCUGCAACUCGACCUCAUGAAGUCGGAGUCGCUAGUAAUCGCAGAUCAGCAACGCUGCGGUGAAUACGUUCCCGGG
Molecule: ribosomal RNA, 1343 nt
Filed under: uncultured bacterium
Lineage: Bacteria
Description: 16S ribosomal RNA
Rfam family: Bacterial small subunit ribosomal RNA
Source: RNAcentral